UACGAAGGGGGCUAGCGUUGCUCGGAAUUACUGGGCGUAAAGGGAGCGUAGGCGGAUAGUUUAGUCAGAGGUGAAAGCCCAGGGCUCAACCUUGGAAUUGCCUUUGAUACUGGCUAUCUUGAGUAUGGGAGAGGUAUGCGGAACUCCGAGUGUAGAGGUGAAAUUCGUAGAUAUUCGGAAGAACACCAGUGGCGAAGGCGGCAUACUGGCCCAUUACUGACGCUGAGGCUCGAAAGCGUGGGGAGCAAACAGG
This 253-nucleotide ribosomal RNA is filed under the name uncultured bacterium. RNAcentral describes it as "partial 16S ribosomal RNA". It matches the Rfam family "Bacterial small subunit ribosomal RNA", at positions 524 to 776 of the family's 1533-position model. The record is from RNAcentral.